This 473-nucleotide ribosomal RNA is filed under the name uncultured bacterium. Its description in RNAcentral is "bacterial SSU rRNA". It matches the Rfam family "Bacterial small subunit ribosomal RNA", at positions 8 to 526 of the family's 1533-position model. The record is from RNAcentral.
AGAGUUUGAUCAUGGCUCAGGAUGAACGCUGGCGGUCUGCUUAACACAUGCAAGUCGAACGGGCGCUUCGGCGCUAGUGGCGGACGGGUGAGUAACGCGUGAGAAUCUGCCCUUAGGAUGGGGACAACAGUUGGAAACGACUGCUAAUACCCAAUGAGCCGAGAGGUAAAAGGAUUAAUUGCCUAGGGAUGAGCUCGCGUCAGAUUAGCUAGUUGGUGGGGUAAGAGCCUACCAAGGCGACGAUCUGUAGCUGGUCUGAGAGGAUGAUCAGCCACACUGGAACUGAGACACGGUCCAGACUCCUACGGGAGGCAGCAGUGGGGAAUUUUCCGCAAUGGGCGCAAGCCUGACGGAGCAAGACCGCGUGCGGGAUGAAGGUCUGUGGAUUGUAAACCGCUUUUGUCAGGGAAGAAUGAUGACGGUACCUGACGAAUCAGCCUCGGCUAGCUCCGUGCCAGCAGCCGCGGUAAUAC